Molecule: ribosomal RNA, 546 nt
Filed under: uncultured Glomeromycotina
Lineage: Eukaryota; Fungi; Glomeromycota
Description: SSU rRNA
Rfam family: Eukaryotic small subunit ribosomal RNA
Source: RNAcentral
UUGGAGGGCAAGUCUGGUGCCAGCAGCCGCGGUAAUUCCAGCUCCAAUAGCGUAUAUUAAAGUUGUUGCAGUUAAAAAGCUCGUAGUUGAAUUUCGGGAUUAGUACGCUGGUCGUGCCUUCGGUACGUACUGGUGUUACUGAUUCCUACCUUCUGACGAACCAUCAUGUCAUUUAUUUGGUGUGGUGGGGAAUCAGGACUGUUACUUUGAAAAAAUUAGAGUGUUUAAAGCAGGCUCGCGCUUGAAUACAUUAGCAUGGAAUAAUGAAAUAGGACGUUGAUCCUAUUUUGUUGGUCUCUAGGAUUGACGUAAUGAUUAAUAGGGAUAGUUGGGGGCAUUAGUAUUCAAUUGUCAGAGGUGAAAUUCUUGGAUUUAUUGAAGACUAACUACUGCGAAAGCAUUUGCCAAGGAUGUUUUCACUAAUCAAGAACGAAAGUUAGGGGAUCGAAGACGAUCAGAUACCGUCGUAGUCUUAACCAUAAACUAUGCCGACUAGGGAUCGGAUGAUGUUAUUUUUAAUGACUCAUUCGGCGCCUUACGGGAAAC